GGCGCGGUGGCGGAGUGGUUACGCAGCGGCCUGCAAAGCCGUGUACACCGGUUCGAUUCCGGUCCGCGCCUCCA
RNAcentral lists this transfer RNA (74 nucleotides) under Rhodospirillaceae bacterium. RNAcentral describes it as "tRNA-Cys". It matches the Rfam family "tRNA". Rfam says of the family: Transfer RNA (tRNA) molecules are approximately 80 nucleotides in length. The record is from RNAcentral. Lineage: Bacteria; Pseudomonadati; Pseudomonadota; Alphaproteobacteria; Rhodospirillales; Rhodospirillaceae. RNAcentral also lists the same sequence under 6 other names.